AGGACGAACGCUGGCGGCGUGCUUAACACAUGCAAGUCGAGCGGAAAGGCCCUUCGGGGUACUCGAGCGGCGAACGGGUGAGUAACACGUGAGUAAUCUGCCCCUAGCUCUGGGAUAGCUCCGGGAAACCGGGAUUAAUACCAGAUACGACCACUUUAGACAUCUGCUGUGGUGGAAAGAAUUUCGGCUAGGGAUGAGCUCGCGGCCUAUCAGCUUGUUGGUGAGUAACGGCUCACCAAGGCGACGACGGGUA
RNAcentral lists this ribosomal RNA (253 nucleotides) under uncultured bacterium. Its description in RNAcentral is "partial small subunit ribosomal RNA". It matches the Rfam family "Bacterial small subunit ribosomal RNA", at positions 26 to 285 of the family's 1533-position model. The record is from RNAcentral.